AACUUAUUUGAUUAGGAAAAACUCACUGAUUUCUUAAAAUGAAUUAUUUUGAGGGAAUUUAUGCAUUGGGAAGUAAGACAUACUUUUUCCAUCUUGAUCAUCAAGUUUAAUGCAUUCAAUGAAUUUCACACGAAGUUUUGUUGAAUAAUAUGAACAACUACAUUAGUUCAUUCUUUUUUUCUCUUAUCAUAAAUGCAAGCCUAAUUGUAUGUUUGCUAAUUUCUAGUUGUUGCUUUCCCCUUUAAAGCUCGAAGAAGUGAUUUUAUGUGAGAAGGUAUUGAUCCUCGCUUCA
Molecule: unclassified non-coding RNA, 292 nt
Filed under: Hevea brasiliensis (rubber tree)
Lineage: Eukaryota; Viridiplantae; Streptophyta; Magnoliopsida; Malpighiales; Euphorbiaceae
Source: RNAcentral